Molecule: long non-coding RNA, 2852 nt
Organism: Oncorhynchus nerka (sockeye salmon)
Lineage: Eukaryota; Metazoa; Chordata; Actinopteri; Salmoniformes; Salmonidae
Exons: 2
Source: RefSeq, a predicted model, not a curated record
CCCUCACAGCUCCGUAGGCAAGCACCAUGGUCUUGUAGCGGAUGCGAGCUUCAACUGGAAGCCAGUGGAGAGAGCGGAGGAGCGGGGUGACGUUUUAUUUUACCUUUAUUUAACUAGGCAAGUCAGUUAAGAACAAAUUCUUAUUUUCAAUGACGGCCUAGGAACAGCCUGUUCAGGGGCAGAACGACAGAUUUGUACCUUGACAGCUCGGGGAUUUGAACUUGCAACCUUUCGGUUAUUAGUCCAACGCUCUAACCACGAGGCUACCCGGCUACCCUACCCUGCCCUUAUUCCGUUGUGUAAUGAAGAAGUACGGCCAUCUUGAACGAGGAUCACUUGAAGUGUACUGUUUGUUAGAGGCGCGUGACCAGAAAGCUACAGUUUGUUUUCCUCCUGUAUUGAACACAGAUCAUCCCGUCUUCAAUUUUAGUGAUUAUUUAUGUUAAAAAAUACCUAAAGUUGUAUUACAAAAGUAGUUUGAAAUGUAACUUGAGAGAUAUUUUGUAGUCACGUUGCGCAAGUUGGAACCGGUGUUUUUCUGGAUCAAAUGCGAAAUUUUGGAUAUAUAUCGGCGGAAUUAAUCGAACAAAAAAAACAUUUGUGAUGUUUAUGGGACAUAUUGGAGUGCCAACAGAAGAAGCUCAUCAAAGGUAAAGGAUGAAUUGUAUUCAUGUUUUGCGUUUUGUGUCGCGCCUGCAGGGUUGAAAUGUCUUCUCUCUUUGAUUACGGAGGUGCUGUCCUCAGAUAAUAGCAUCAUUUGCUUUCGCCGAAAAGCCUUUUUGUAAUCUGACAUGUUGGCUGGAUUCACAACACGUGUAGCUUUAAUUUGCUAUCUUGCAUGUGUGAUUUAAUGAAAGUUAGAUUUUUAUAGUAAUUAAUUUGAAUUUGGCGCUCUGCAUUCUCCCUGGCUUUUGGCCCAGAGAGGUUAACAAUGUCUACACUGUAUUUCUGAUCAAAUUGAUGUUAUUUUAAAACGGACAAAAAAAAAAUGCAAAAACAAGGACAUUUCUAAGUGGCCCCAAACUUUUGAACAGUAGUGUUUAUAUAUAUACACACAAUUAAAAAAAAAAAAAAAAAUAUAUAUAUAUAUAUAUAUAUAUAUAUAUAUAUACACACACAAAAAAAUAUAUAUAUAUGAGGGAUUGGAAGUGAUGCAGACAAUUUCAUUGAUGGAAGCUACAAUCUAUCUGCAAUAUUAAAGCUACCACCUAAAAUAUGUUUAAAUAAUAUACUCCAAGCAAGCUGUCAUGUGCCUUUUACUGAGGAGUGGUCAUCUCCCUGACCAAGACCGAGGCCCUUUUCCUCUGAUUGCUCAGUUUGGCCGGGCGGCAAGCUCUAAGAUUGAUGAAAGCCAAUGUGUUCUUGGGGACCUUCAAUGCAGCAGAAAUUUGUUGGUACCCUUCCCCAGAUCUGUGCCUCGACAGAAUCCUGUCUCGGAGCUCUACGGAAAAUUCCUUCGACCUCAUGGCUUGGUUUUUGCUCUGACAUGCACUGUCAAUUGUGGGACCUUAUAUAGACAGGUGUGUGCCUUUCCAAAUCAUGUCUAAUCAAUUGAAUUUACCAUAGGAGGACUCCAAUCAAGUUGUAGGAACAUCAAGGACGAUCAAUGGAAACAGGAUGCACCUGAGAUCAAUUUCGGUUCUCAUAGCAAAGGAUCUGAACACUUAUGUAAAUAAGGACCUGGGACCAUGCCUCAGGACUACCUGACAUGAUGACUCCUUGCUGUCCCCAGUCCACCUGGCCGUGCUGCUGCUCCAGUUUCAACUGUUCUGCCUUAUUAUUAUUGGACCAUGCUGGUCAUUUAUGAACAUUUGAACAUCUUGGCCAUGUUCUGUUAUAAUCUCCACCCGGCACAGCCAGAAGAGGACUGGCCACCCCACAUAGCCUGGUUCCUCUCUAGGUUUCUUCCUAGGUUUUGGCCUUUCUAGGGAGUUUUUCCUAGCCACCGUGCUUCUACACCUGCAUUGCUUGCUGUUUGGGAGUUUUAGGCUGGGUUUCUGUACAGCACUUUGAGAUAUCAGCUGAUGUACGAAGGGCUAUAUAAAUACAUUUGAUUUGAUUUGAUGAGCCAAGCACAUGGAGGCCUUUCUGUUCUGUUCAGGUGUACUUCAUUAGCCAAGCACAUGUGCUUAUGACCACACACUUUUCUCUAAAGGAAUAGAACCUCAUAGCCUCUGGAACAUACAGUCCUGGGCCAUGGAAUUACAAUCAUUCCAGAAUUGUUCCAACAAUAUUUUGCAUAAACAUUCAUUUGGUAUAAUAUAUUUAUAUAGUUACCUUUGAAGGGGUCUGAUUUGAAGGGGUCCUCUGUCUGGAAGGGGUCUGCUGCUGGAAGGGGUUCUGGUGUUGAUUUGUUGCUGCUGAACAUGGCUAUCCUCGAUUUGAAAGAGUCCUCCUGAUUCUGGGGGACAAAAUAUUCAGAUUGCUCAACCUCAAAAUCUUCUCCACUUCCAUUCAAAUCAACUGGAUUGCCCAACGUUGGGACAACAACGCUUUACCAAGCGGAACUGAACGUAGACGCUUCUUCUUGUAAUCUCUAACAUAAUGAACAUUGAAUAGAAAGGUAUCAAGUCUGUCAGGUGUGAGCCACAGGAAGUGAGGUCACACUAAACACAGUGAGAGCUCCACAUGAAUAGCUGGGUAUAUAAUAUGCACUGAACGUAGAAAACAUUAAGAACACCUUCCCAAUAUUGAGUUGCUUAAAAAUCCUUCUUUAACCCGUCUCCUCCCCUGAUUGAAGUGGAAUUAACAAGUGACAUCAAAACAGGAUUGUAGUCCAUGUCAUGGAAAAAGCAAGUUAGAUUAUUAAUGUUUUGUACUCUGAGUGUAUAUUAAAGUAUAGGCAAGCUCUU